RNAcentral lists this transfer RNA (82 nucleotides) under Asterophora parasitica. Its description in RNAcentral is "tRNA-Pro". It matches the Rfam family "tRNA". Rfam says of the family: Transfer RNA (tRNA) molecules are approximately 80 nucleotides in length. Their secondary structure includes four short double-helical elements and three loops (D, anti-codon, and T loops). Further hydrogen bonds mediate the characteristic L-shaped molecular structure. tRNAs have two regions of fundamental functional importance: the anti-codon, which is responsible for specific mRNA codon recognition, and the 3' end, to which the tRNAs corresponding amino acid is attached (by aminoacyl-tRNA synthetases). tRNAs cope with the degeneracy of the genetic code in two manners: having more than one tRNA (with a specific anti-codon) for a particular amino acid; and 'wobble' base-pairing, i.e. permitting non-standard base-pairing at the 3rd anti-codon position. Lineage: Eukaryota; Fungi; Basidiomycota; Agaricomycetes; Agaricales; Lyophyllaceae. The record is from RNAcentral.
GGCCUGAUGGUCUAGUAGUAUGAUUCCUUGUUAGGGUUAAGCCGUUUCGAGGAGGUCCUGGGUUCAAUUCCCAGUUAGGCCC